Long non-coding RNA from Drosophila ananassae, 395 nucleotides. RefSeq lists it as uncharacterized. The transcript has 2 exons. The record is from RefSeq and is a predicted model, not a curated record. NCBI's taxonomy places the organism in Eukaryota, Metazoa, Arthropoda, Insecta, Diptera, Drosophilidae.
GAGGUGGAUGCCUGGGCGACACAUGUCAGUUGUCAACGCAGCAAUUUGACAGGACCCGUACUGAAAUGGCCAGAUAUAUCCAUUCAGACGGGGGCCAAGAAGGAAGUAACCACAGAAACUAAGCCAAAUGCUGACCAAGACAAACCAUUAGAGAAAAGGCACAAAUAAUACAGUCCAAGACAGGAGUUUCUACUGUUAGUUAAUAAAGUUAAGAUAUAUCGUUUUUUUUGACUAUGUUUCAGAGGGAUCGCAAAAAUAUUUUUAUGUUAUUACUUUUUGUUAUGAAACGCACUGUAUUUAUCUGAAUAGAAUGCCACUUAUGAUCUGCUUGACUUGACCACUUUGGCUUUGUAGAUUUAAUGUCUUGCGGCUUGCAUUAUAAAAUUAGUGACAUA